This 645-nucleotide ribosomal RNA is filed under the name uncultured Alphaproteobacteria bacterium. Its description in RNAcentral is "bacterial SSU rRNA". It matches the Rfam family "Bacterial small subunit ribosomal RNA", at positions 224 to 890 of the family's 1533-position model. The record is from RNAcentral. Lineage: Bacteria; Pseudomonadati; Pseudomonadota; Alphaproteobacteria.
GGAUGGCCCGCGUUGGAUUAGAUAGUUGGUGGGUAAUGGCCUACCAAGUCUACGAUCCAUAGCUGGUUUGAGAGGAUGAUCAGCCACACUGGGACUGAGACACGGCCCAGACUCCUACGGGAGGCAGCAGUGGGGAAUCUUAGACAAUGGGCGCAAGCCUGAUCUAGCCAUACCGCGUGAGUGAUGAAGGCCUUAGGGUCGUAAAGCUCUUUCGCCAGGGAAGAUAAUGACUGUACCUGGUAAAGAAGUCCCGGCUAACUCCGUGCCAGCAGCCGCGGUAAUACGGAGGGGACUAGCGUUGUUCGGAAUUACUGGGCGUAAAGCGCACGUAGGCGGACCGAAAAGUUGGGGGUGAAAUCCCAGGGCUCAACCCUGGAACUGCCUCCAAAACUGCCGGUCUAGAGUUCGAGAGAGGUGAGUGGAAUUCCGAGUGUAGAGGUGAAAUUCGUAGAUACUCGGAGGAACACCAGUGGCGAAGGCGGCUCACUGGCUCGAUACUGACGCUGAGGUGCGAAAGCGUGGGGAGCAAGCAGGAUUAGAUAACCCUGGUAGUCCACGCCGUAACGAUGAAUGCUAGACGUCAGGGGGCAUGCCCUUUGGUGUCGCAGCUAACGCAUUAAGCAUUCCGCCUGGGAGUACGUCGCA